AGUGAACGCUGGCGGUAGGCCUAACACAUGCAAGUCGAACGGCAGCACAGUAAGAGCUUGCUCUUACGGGUGGCGAGUGGCGGACGGGUGAGGAAUACAUCGGAAUCUACUUUUUCGUGGGGGAUAACGUAGGGAAACUUACGCUAAUACCGCAUACGACCUACGGGUGAAAGCAGGGGAUCUUCGGACCUUGCGCGAUUGAAUGAGCCGAUGUCGGAUUAGCUAGUUGGCGGGGUAAAGGCCCACCAAGGCGACGAUCCGUAGCUGGUCUGAGAGGAUGAUCGGCUACAAUGGAACUGAGACACGGUCCAGAAUCCUACGGGAGGCAGCAGUAGGGAAUGUUGCGCAAGGGGCGAAAGCGUGACGGAGCAACGACGCGUGAGUGAUGAAGGUCUUCGGAUCGUAAAAAUCUGUGAUUAGGGAAGAACAAAGGUGGAAGUAACUAGGCACGUCUGGACGGUACCUAAUCAGAAAGCCACGGCUAACUACGUG
RNAcentral lists this ribosomal RNA (492 nucleotides) under uncultured bacterium. RNAcentral's name for it is "partial 16S ribosomal RNA". It matches the Rfam family "Bacterial small subunit ribosomal RNA", at positions 29 to 507 of the family's 1533-position model. The record is from RNAcentral.